GUACCCAUAGCUUAACGGUUAAAGCUCUAGUCUGUGGAACUAGCGAUGUGGGUUCAAUUCCCGCUGGGUACCCCA
RNAcentral lists this transfer RNA (75 nucleotides) under Candidatus Portnoybacteria bacterium CG03_land_8_20_14_0_80_41_10. Its description in RNAcentral is "tRNA-His". It matches the Rfam family "tRNA". From Rfam's summary of the family: Transfer RNA (tRNA) molecules are approximately 80 nucleotides in length. Their secondary structure includes four short double-helical elements and three loops (D, anti-codon, and T loops). Lineage: Bacteria; Candidatus Portnoyibacteriota. RNAcentral also lists the same sequence under 1 other name. The record is from RNAcentral.